RNAcentral lists this small RNA (16 nucleotides) under Arabidopsis thaliana (thale cress). Its description in RNAcentral is "ATSL124980". Lineage: Eukaryota; Viridiplantae; Streptophyta; Magnoliopsida; Brassicales; Brassicaceae. The record is from RNAcentral.
AAAAAUAAAAUAAAAA